This 2803-nucleotide ribosomal RNA is filed under the name Klebsiella pneumoniae. RNAcentral describes it as "bacterial LSU rRNA". It matches the Rfam family "Bacterial large subunit ribosomal RNA". The record is from RNAcentral. Lineage: Bacteria; Pseudomonadati; Pseudomonadota; Gammaproteobacteria; Enterobacterales; Enterobacteriaceae.
GGGUUGUGAGGUUAAGCGACUAAGCGUACACGGUGGAUGCCCUGGCAGUCAGAGGCGAUGAAGGACGUGCUAAUCUGCGAAAAGCGUCGGUAAGGUGAUAUGAACCGUUACAGCCGGCGAUGUCCGAAUGGGGAAACCCAGUGUGAUUCGUCACACUAUCGUUAACUGAAUACAUAGGUUAACGAGGCGAACCGGGGGAACUGAAACAUCUAAGUACCCCGAGGAAAAGAAAUCAACCGAGAUUCCCCCAGUAGCGGCGAGCGAACGGGGAGCAGCCCAGAGUCUGAAUCAGCUUGUGUGUUAGUGGAACGGUCUGGAAAGUCCGACGGUACAGGGUGAUAGUCCCGUACACCAAAAUGCACAGGCUGUGAACUCGAAGAGUAGGGCGGGACACGUGGUAUCCUGUCUGAAUAUGGGGGGACCAUCCUCCAAGGCUAAAUACUCCUGACUGACCGAUAGUGAACCAGUACCGUGAGGGAAAGGCGAAAAGAACCCCGGCGAGGGGAGUGAAAAAGAACCUGAAACCGUGUACGUACAAGCAGUGGGAGCACCUUCGGGUGUGACUGCGUACCUUUUGUAUAAUGGGUCAGCGACUUAUAUUCUGUAGCAAGGUUAACCGUAUAGGGGAGCCGCAGGGAAACCGAGUCUUAACUGGGCGUUAAGUUGCAGGGUAUAGACCCGAAACCCGGUGAUCUAGCCAUGGGCAGGUUGAAGGUUGGGUAACACUAACUGGAGGACCGAACCGACUAAUGUUGAAAAAUUAGCGGAUGACUUGUGGCUGGGGGUGAAAGGCCAAUCAAACCGGGAGAUAGCUGGUUCUCCCCGAAAGCUAUUUAGGUAGCGCCUCGUGAACUCAUCUUCGGGGGUAGAGCACUGUUUCGGCUAGGGGGUCAUCCCGACUUACCAACCCGAUGCAAACUACGAAUACCGAAGAAUGUUAUCACGGGAGACACACGGCGGGUGCUAACGUCCGUCGUGAAGAGGGAAACAACCCAGACCGCCAGCUAAGGUCCCAAAGUCAUGGUUAAGUGGGAAACGAUGUGGGAAGGCACAGACAGCCAGGAUGUUGGCUUAGAAGCAGCCAUCAUUUAAAGAAAGCGUAAUAGCUCACUGGUCGAGUCGGCCUGCGCGGAAGAUGUAACGGGGCUAAACCAUGCACCGAAGCUGCGGCAGCGACACUAUGUGUUGUUGGGUAGGGGAGCGUUCUGUAAGCCUGCGAAGGUGUGCUGUGAGGCAUGCUGGAGGUAUCAGAAGUGCGAAUGCUGACAUAAGUAACGAUAAAGCGGGUGAAAAGCCCGCUCGCCGGAAGACCAAGGGUUCCUGUCCAACGUUAAUCGGGGCAGGGUGAGUCGACCCCUAAGGCGAGGCCGAAAGGCGUAGUCGAUGGGAAACAGGUUAAUAUUCCUGUACUUGGUGUUACUGCGAAGGGGGGACGGAGAAGGCUAUGUUAGCCGGGCGACGGUUGUCCCGGUUUAAGCAUGUAGGCUGGUUAUCCAGGCAAAUCCGGAUAAUCAAGGCUGAGGUGUGAUGACGAGGCACUACGGUGCUGAAGUAACAAAUGCCCUGCUUCCAGGAAAAGCCUCUAAGCAUCAGGUAACAUUAAAUCGUACCCCAAACCGACACAGGUGGUCAGGUAGAGAAUACCAAGGCGCUUGAGAGAACUCGGGUGAAGGAACUAGGCAAAAUGGUGCCGUAACUUCGGGAGAAGGCACGCUGGUGUGUAGGUGAAGUCCCUGCGGAUGGAGCUGAGACCAGUCGAAGAUACCAGCUGGCUGCAACUGUUUAUUAAAAACACAGCACUGUGCAAACACGAAAGUGGACGUAUACGGUGUGACGCCUGCCCGGUGCCGGAAGGUUAAUUGAUGGGGUUAUCCGUAAGGAGAAGCUCUUGAUCGAAGCCCCGGUAAACGGCGGCCGUAACUAUAACGGUCCUAAGGUAGCGAAAUUCCUUGUCGGGUAAGUUCCGACCUGCACGAAUGGCGUAAUGAUGGCCAGGCUGUCUCCACCCGAGACUCAGUGAAAUUGAACUCGCUGUGAAGAUGCAGUGUACCCGCGGCAAGACGGAAAGACCCCGUGAACCUUUACUAUAGCUUGACACUGAACAUUGAGCCUUGAUGUGUAGGAUAGGUGGGAGGCUUUGAAGCGUGGACGCCAGUCUGCGUGGAGCCAACCUUGAAAUACCACCCUUUAAUGUUUGAUGUUCUAACGUUGGCCCCUGACCGGGGUUGCGGACAGUGUCUGGUGGGUAGUUUGACUGGGGCGGUCUCCUCCCAAAGCGUAACGGAGGAGCACGAAGGUUAGCUAAUCCUGGUCGGACAUCAGGAGGUUAGUGCAAUGGCAUAAGCUAGCUUGACUGCGAGCGUGACGGCGCGAGCAGGUGCGAAAGCAGGUCAUAGUGAUCCGGUGGUUCUGAAUGGAAGGGCCAUCGCUCAACGGAUAAAAGGUACUCCGGGGAUAACAGGCUGAUACCGCCCAAGAGUUCAUAUCGACGGCGGUGUUUGGCACCUCGAUGUCGGCUCAUCACAUCCUGGGGCUGAAGUAGGUCCCAAGGGUAUGGCUGUUCGCCAUUUAAAGUGGUACGCGAGCUGGGUUUAGAACGUCGUGAGACAGUUCGGUCCCUAUCUGCCGUGGGCGCUGGAGAAUUGAGGGGGGCUGCUCCUAGUACGAGAGGACCGGAGUGGACGCAUCACUGGUGUUCGGGUUGUCAUGCCAAUGGCACUGCCCGGUAGCUAAAUGCGGAAGAGAUAAGUGCUGAAAGCAUCUAAGCACGAAACUUGCCCCGAGAUGAGUUCUCCCUGAGACU